AUGUGUAAGGAAAUUUUUAAAAUAAUAUAUUUUGUUUAUUGAUUUUUAGUGAAUGGAUAGGUGUCAAUGGGUAUGGAUACCCGAAAUUUUAUCCGAACCCGAACCCGAAUGAAACGGAUAUAUCCGAUGGAUAUGGAUAUGGAUUCGGAUAUGGAUAUCAAAAAUAGAAACCGACGAUAUGGAUUCGGAUAUGGAUUUUGAUUGUACCCGACCCGAACCGCCGAACCCGAUCGAACCCGAAUUUAUUUUGUAUUAUAUAUAAUAUAUAUAUAUAAAAAUUUGAUGUUAUAUUUGAAUUUGUAUUUUAAAAAUUUAGGUUUAAUAUAAUAUAUUUUGAAAUAUUGAAAAAAGAAAUAAUUGUUUCGGGUUUAAAUUUUCGGGUUCGGGUUCGGGUUUGGGUUCGGGUUUCGGAUUUUUGGUCGGGUUCGGGUUUGGAUAUGGAUUUUUAAAAUCCGUCGGGUUCGGGUUCGGGUUCGGGUCUCGAGUUUGGAGUCGGGUUCGGGUUCGGGUUUUUAAAAAUCCGCCCCGAAUCCGACCCGUUGACAUCUCUAUGAAUGGAUGUGAUCCUUAUUGAAUGAAUGCAACACUUAGUGAAUGAUGCAACCCUUAGUGAGUGGAUGCAACUCUAAUCAAAGAGUGUGACUCUUAGAGUGAAAGGAUGUGACUUUUAGUGAAAGGAUAUGACAUGAAAAGAUAUAUCUUUAUAGUGUGUAUCUUCGAGUAUAUGUCCGUUGGAAUGAAUUCUUACAUUCAUUGAACUUGACUCAUAAAACUAAUUGGUAGUUAUGAUCAAAUAUAAAGUCACAAUUGAAGGGUCACUUCAUGAAACACCCGUUGAUAUUCUAGUCAUUUCAUGAAGCACCUGUUCGUAGUCUAUAUAAAUCCAUAACGUUGGUUGCAGAAGUAUGAAAAAACAGUGGAAGAGUUUAAGUCUCCAUUCAUAAUAAUUACAUUCUUAUUUUCUUAUUCUGUUUGACAACUUAAUCGAGUA
RNAcentral lists this long non-coding RNA (991 nucleotides) under Ananas comosus (pineapple). RNAcentral's name for it is "long non-coding RNA (ACOM_LNC031379)". Lineage: Eukaryota; Viridiplantae; Streptophyta; Magnoliopsida; Poales; Bromeliaceae. The record is from RNAcentral.